CCUCAUCUCUUAACAUGUAGUCCCUCCGUCCUAAAAUAAAAUUUAUGUUGUACAUUUAGUGGAUUUAUACAAUAAUCAAUGUAUGUGUUUUGCACAUGUGUCUAGAAUAGAUUCAUUAUCAUAUAUUUAGAUACAGGUAUAAAAAACCAGGUUGUAAAGUGAUUACUAAUUUAAAACUGAGGGACUAUAACAUAUUAACAUGGCAACCUUUGAGAGACGGGAAAAAAUACACGAUACUCACUUUAGAUCCUUCUCGUUUGUCUUCCUUGCUAGUGGGGAAGGAAAAAAAAAAGCAGCCACAUCACAUGAUGAAAGAUCAGGAGAGAUGCUCAAUGAAAUUGUGUUCCCGGCAUGAUCGAUCAGAUCUUGCUGAUCUUGACCGCAACCUCUCCAACAAAUCCUGGCUCAGUCAAACAAUGAAAAAGUCCAUCACAUUUCCUCCUAUAAUUGCCUCCCCUGAACACGUGUCCUCUGCUUAAAAAAAACUAGUCAUGUAAAACAGUCAAGUCAUCCUCCAUUCCUUUGGACAUCUCCAGAAGCCGGUGGCAGCUAGUAAAAUAUGAUGUGUUGUUCUAGCGCAUGUGAUUGUUGCAGAUAUCAGGUGAGAGUGAGACGGUGGGGGAGGUGAAAGCAGUGGCUGAU
Molecule: long non-coding RNA, 642 nt
Filed under: Zea mays
Lineage: Eukaryota; Viridiplantae; Streptophyta; Magnoliopsida; Poales; Poaceae
Description: long non-coding RNA (ZMAY_LNC003416)
Source: RNAcentral